Molecule: non-coding RNA, 299 nt
Organism: Jatropha curcas
Lineage: Eukaryota; Viridiplantae; Streptophyta; Magnoliopsida; Malpighiales; Euphorbiaceae
Source: RefSeq, a predicted model, not a curated record
AAAGCUUCAAACUACAAAUAAUUUUGAUUCUACUUUUAACCCCAAAACAAGAAAAAUAAUGUUUAAUGAAUAAGUAUUAUAAUUGAAAUGUCUUAGAAAAUGUUUCUAACCACAAAUAUUUGAAAACAUACAUAGAGCAUUAAUUGCUAAUUAACAAUUGUUAAAAGCUGAAAACAAAAAAAAUAUAUCAGCCAAUCCUUGAGCCAAACACACCCGUAGUUGAACUACUUGUAUCAAAAUCAGUUGAUGAAGUUGAGUCUAGCUGAGGUCCGUCGGCAAUAUCAACACAUUGGGCAGGG